AAAUGUCUGACCGUGAUAAUUUAGAGAGUGAAAGUGAUCACCCUCGUGCAAAGAAAGCAAAAUCACACUAUGACACACUAUCAAGUCAUCACUAAAGGGAUUUUGUAUGGUGCUGGCAUUAUCGUUGAUUGAUUUUAGAUGAGCCGUUAUCAAGUUAUUAUUUACAUCAGCGACUUACCAACUUUUGGAGAAACUCCGUUCACUCGCUGUUUAUUCAUAUAAAAAAUAUAAAAAAAAAAUAAAGUUACUUAGAUAUUUUUUGUGUUAUUCAAGAGUGUAUGUGUUGAGUUGAAUAAAGUUUAUAUAAAUAUCUUUUAUAAGGUAAAAGCCCCAAUAGAUGAUCAUGUACCAGUAUAUGAUCACUCCAUGUAU
Long non-coding RNA from Cotesia glomerata, 372 nucleotides. RefSeq lists it as uncharacterized. The record is from RefSeq and is a predicted model, not a curated record. Lineage: Eukaryota; Metazoa; Arthropoda; Insecta; Hymenoptera; Braconidae. The transcript is spliced from 3 exons.